UGCGUGAAGUCGGAAUCGCUAGUAAUCGCGGAUCAGCAUGCCGCGGUGAAUACGUUCCCGGGCCUUGUACACACCGCCCGUCACGCCAUGAGAGUCGGGAACACCCGAAGUCCGUAGCCUAACCGCAAGGAGGGCGCGGCCGAAGGUGGGUUCGAUAAUUGGGGUGAAGUCGUAACAAGGUAGC
Molecule: ribosomal RNA, 184 nt
Filed under: uncultured bacterium
Lineage: Bacteria
Description: partial 16S ribosomal RNA
Rfam family: Bacterial small subunit ribosomal RNA
Source: RNAcentral